Molecule: long non-coding RNA, 555 nt
Organism: Columba livia (rock pigeon)
Lineage: Eukaryota; Metazoa; Chordata; Aves; Columbiformes; Columbidae
Exons: 4
Source: RefSeq, a predicted model, not a curated record
GAUAAGUAGAUAUCUUAUGUUCUCCUGCAUAUACCAUGGGACACAGUUGUGGGGAGGUUUGUCUGCUAUUUUACUCCACUGUAAUAUAGGUACAGAAACAAAAGAAGAGUCAGGAGGAUCAGAAUAACAAAUUUUGUGUGGAAAUAGACUAAGUGUAACUUUGGGCCUUGAAUUUCUCCAAAACGUGUAAAGAAAUGACUGCACUCCCCUCAUCUGAUUUAAAAAUACAUUCAAGUUCAGAGACAGCAAUGAGGCAUGCAAAGGAAGAAAACUUACCCAUUCUGUACAACCUGCCGUUAUCCUAACUGGGUGGACAUCUUACAUGUGUUCAUUUGGGUCACAGGCACUGAAGCCUGCCUAUGUGAAUAUCAUUCUUCAGCAUGGCUGUUCAUCGUUCCAACAGUUCUGUUCUCUGGAUUCUUUCCUAAUUUAGCUUUACUAGCACUCUGCUCAUAACCUACUUUUUGUAGCUUGUCUUGCAUUUUAACCUUGAUGUUCUAUAAUUUGGACUAAGCUCUUAUAUUUUUUAUUCAGCCUGUAAAGUAUCAUUCUAAC